UUUCGUGAAAAUUUUAAUUUAAUUUUUAAAUAUAUUCAUUUCACUCCAAGAUAAGGCGUACCAAAAAUAUAUUGUAUCCACAAGUUUAAUAAAUUAUUUACAUUAAAUACUUAUGUAUAUCAUCAUGAUAUAUGAUAUCCUCUUGUUUGAACGUAAUUGACAUCCAUUAUCAUAUAAGUGUCUUAAUAAAAAUUUGAUUGUACAAGGAAGUAAUAUUAACAAGAUUUUCAAGAAGAUUUUCAAUUUCAGCAAGUUACAGAAUUAUUACUCGUAGAAUUUCAAGUCUAAAACUAAUCUGAAACUAAAAACUUCGUUGCGAAGAGAGUUGCACGAAUCGUGGAAUUUCAACUGCAAACAUUUCUUAUCAAAAAUGAAGCCACGAUGAAUCGAGACGUGUUGUCACUCGUUAAUCUCCUUGUUAACACGAAAGAAGCUAUCUUGAAGGAUCUUCUGUACGAUGGAAAUACAGUUUUGACGUAGUUUGUGCCAUUUUUCGAUAAUUCAUGGCGA
This is a long non-coding RNA of Apis dorsata (giant honeybee), 510 nucleotides long. RefSeq lists it as uncharacterized. The transcript has 2 exons. NCBI's taxonomy places the organism in Eukaryota, Metazoa, Arthropoda, Insecta, Hymenoptera, Apidae. The record is from RefSeq and is a predicted model, not a curated record.